CGAAUUGAGAAUUUUCACUUUUGAGGAGUUAUAGCAAUUACAAGUUUGGAGGCGUGCAACAAAUACUUUCUCUUACCUCCAUUUAGUGGUGCACGAUAUUUUAGGGAAAUCAUUACAAACUUUCCAUAGCUUACUUCCAACACGCCAUAGAAUCCCCUACCUAAAUCAUCGAUCUCAUUCUCUCUAAACACAGAAAACUGUUCAACAUUG
Molecule: long non-coding RNA, 210 nt
Filed under: Lathyrus oleraceus (garden pea)
Lineage: Eukaryota; Viridiplantae; Streptophyta; Magnoliopsida; Fabales; Fabaceae
Description: Pisum sativum (pea) long non-coding RNA (PSAT_LNC031985)
Source: RNAcentral